CACGUAGGCACCAAGCGUUGUCCGGAUUUAUUGGGCGUAAAGAGCUCGUAGGCGGUUCGGUUAGUCGGGUGUGAAAACUUUGGGCUCAACCCAAAGCGUGCACUCGAUACUGCCGUGACUAGAGUUCGGUAGGGGAGUGGGGAAUUCCUAGUGUAGCGGUGAAAUGCGCAGAUAUUAGGAGGAACACCGGUGGCGAAGGCGCCACUCUGGGCCGAAACUGACGCUGAGGAGCGAAAGCGUGGGUAGCGAACAGG
RNAcentral lists this ribosomal RNA (254 nucleotides) under uncultured bacterium. RNAcentral describes it as "partial 16S ribosomal RNA". It matches the Rfam family "Bacterial small subunit ribosomal RNA", at positions 524 to 776 of the family's 1533-position model. The record is from RNAcentral.